GAUUAUGGCUCAGGAUGAACGCUAGCGACAGGCUUAACACAUGCAAGUCGAGGGGCAGCAUAGAAGUAGCAAUACGUUGGUGGCGACCGGCGCGACGGGUGAGUAACGCGUAUGCAACCUACCUAUCAGAGGGGAAUAACCCGGCGAAAGUCGGACUAAUACCGCAUAAAACAGGGGCACCGCAUGGUGAUAUUUGUUAAAGAAAUUCGCUGAUAGAUGGGCAUGCGUUCCAUUAGGUAGUUGGUGAGGUAACGGCUCACCAAGCCGACGAUGGAUAGGGGAACUGAGAGGUUGGUCCCCCACACUGGUACUGAGACACGGACCAGACUCCUACGGGAGGCAGCAGUGAGGAAUAUUGGUCAAUGGGCGGGAGCCUGAACCAGCCAAAGUCGCGUGAAGGAAGAAGGAUCUAUGGUUCGUAAACUUCUUUUGCAGGGGAAUGAAGUACGGUACGUGUACCGUUUUGUAUGUACCCUUCGAAUAAGGAUCGGCUAACUCCGUGCCAGCAGCCGC
Molecule: ribosomal RNA, 513 nt
Filed under: uncultured bacterium
Lineage: Bacteria
Description: bacterial SSU rRNA
Rfam family: Bacterial small subunit ribosomal RNA
Source: RNAcentral